UACGUAGGGCGCAAGCGUUGUCCGGAAUUAUUGGGCGUAAAGAGCUCGUAGGCGGUCUGUCGCGUCCGUUGUGAAAACUCGAGGCUCAACCUCGGGCUUGCAGUGGAUACGGGCAGACUAGAGUGCGGUAGGGGAGACUGGAAUCCUGGUGUAGCGGUGGAAUGCGUAGGAUAUCGGGGAGGAACACCUGUGGCGAAAGGCGGCUCA
This 207-nucleotide ribosomal RNA is filed under the name uncultured bacterium. RNAcentral's name for it is "partial 16S ribosomal RNA". It matches the Rfam family "Bacterial small subunit ribosomal RNA", at positions 524 to 728 of the family's 1533-position model. The record is from RNAcentral.